AUCAUGGCUCAGGAUGAACGCUAGCGGCAGGCUUAACACAUGCAAGUCGAGGGGUAUCACGCUUUCGGGCGUGAGAGACCGGCGCACGGGUGCGUAACGCGUAUACAAUCUACCUUUUACAGAGGGAUAGCCCAGAGAAAUUUGGAUUAAUACCUCAUAGUAUUUUCGAAUGGCAUCAUUUGAUUAUUAAAGUUCCAACGGUAAAAGAUGAGUAUGCGUCCCAUUAGCUAGAUGGUAAGGUAACGGCUUACCAUGGCAACGAUGGGUAGGGGUCCUGAGAGGGAGAUCCCCCACACUGGUACUGAGACACGGACCAGACUCCUACGGGAGGCAGCAGUGAGGAAUAUUGGACAAUGGGCGCAAGCCUGAUCCAGCCAUGCCGCGUGCAGGAAGACGGUCCUAUGGAUUGUAAACUGCUUUUAUACAGGAAGAAACACCUCUACGUGUAGAGACUUGACGGUACUGUAUGAAUAAGCAUCGGCUAACUCCGUG
This 492-nucleotide ribosomal RNA is filed under the name uncultured bacterium. Its description in RNAcentral is "bacterial SSU rRNA". It matches the Rfam family "Bacterial small subunit ribosomal RNA", at positions 16 to 507 of the family's 1533-position model. The record is from RNAcentral.